GUCCGGGUGGCGGAAUAGGUAGACGCGCUAGCUUGAGGUGCUAGUGGCCGUAAAGGCUGUGGAGGUUCAAGUCCUCUCUCGGACA
RNAcentral lists this transfer RNA (85 nucleotides) under Propionibacteriaceae bacterium. RNAcentral describes it as "tRNA-Leu". It matches the Rfam family "tRNA". Rfam says of the family: Transfer RNA (tRNA) molecules are approximately 80 nucleotides in length. The record is from RNAcentral. RNAcentral also lists the same sequence under 2 other names. Lineage: Bacteria; Bacillati; Actinomycetota; Actinomycetes; Propionibacteriales; Propionibacteriaceae.